CUGAGAGCCCGGACGCCUGGGUUCUAUCUCCCAUUCUCUUUCCAGAUGACACGGAGCCGAUUUACGAGGUGAUGGAGUCUCCGUUGGAGAGCCCCCAGCCGGAUGGGAGAAACCCCGAAACUGACCCCCAACCCCCCCCGGCCAUGCCCUUGCCUCCCCAGCCAGACCCCAACUACACGGAGCUGCUGCAGCGAGCCGAGUCCGUGUACGCCCAGAUCCAGAGGUGACGCCAGCUGCAGAGUCCACAGGGGGGAACCCCCCAGGGAAGCCCCCCGCCGUGGGGAACCCCCCCAACGAGGAGCCACCCAGGGACACCCCCUUGCCAUGGGGAACCCUCUGAGGGUCCCCACAAUUGGGAUCCCUGACCACAAGGAUCCCACCCAUGGGGAACCCCCUACCAUGGGGAACACGCACAGAAAAACUGGGGUACUCUCCCAGGGACUCCAAUGGGCAGCUCCACCCACAAAGCCUGAGCACCCCCCAGUGGGGUACCCCUCAGCAAACCUGGGAACCCUCCACAGCACCCUUGACCCUCCCAAAGGGACCCCCUCCCAGCAUCCAUGGAAGCCCCUAGAAACACCCCCCUCAUUGUCCAUGGGGAACCCCCCAGGAGAACUCCCACCCUCAGCCUGCACGCCAGACCUCACACCCUGGGGAUCCCCCCAUCAGCAUCUCCAGGGAACCCCCCCCACCCCCAAACCCAGCCUCCCGGGGCCCAUCCAACGCCGGAGCCUGGAUCAAACCUCUGGAGGAAGAGCUGAGCUGGAGGCCGGUGUUGGGAGCAGAUGAGGGGCACCCCCAGCCCCACUAUUAAA
This 815-nucleotide long non-coding RNA is filed under the name Terrapene triunguis (Three-toed box turtle). RNAcentral's name for it is "Terrapene carolina triunguis (Three-toed box turtle) lncRNA (ENSTMTG00000016856.1)". The record is from RNAcentral. Lineage: Eukaryota; Metazoa; Chordata; Testudines; Emydidae.